ACGGGUGAGUAACACGUGGGUAACCUGCCCUAUAGACCGGGAUAACUCGCGGAAACGCGUGCUAAUACCGGAUAACACAGCGGAGCGCAUGCUCCGGUGUUGAAAGGUGGUUCUGCUACCGCUAUAGGAUGGGCCCGCGGCGCAUUAGCUAGUUGGUGGGGUAACGGCCUACCAAGGCGACGAUGCGUAGCCGACCUGAGAGGGUGAUCGGCCACACUGGGACUGAGACACGGCCCAGACUCCUACGGGAGGCAGCAGUAGGGAAUCUUCCACAAUGGGCGAAAGCCUGAUGGAGCAACGCCGCGUGAGCGAAGAAGGUCUUCGGAUCGUAAAGCUCUGUUGUAAGGGAAGAACAAGUGCGGUAGUAACUGACCGCACCCUGACGGUACCUUACGAGAAAGCCACGGCUAACUACGUGCCAGCAGCCGCGGUAAUACGUAGGUGGCGAGCGUUGUCCGGAAUUAUUGGGCGUAAAGCGCGCGCAGGUGGUCUCUUAAGUCUGAUGUGAAAGCCCCCGGCUCAACCGGGGAGGGUCAUUGGAAACUGGGAGACUUGAGUGCAGGAGAGGGAAGCGGAAUUC
RNAcentral lists this ribosomal RNA (580 nucleotides) under uncultured bacterium. RNAcentral's name for it is "bacterial SSU rRNA". It matches the Rfam family "Bacterial small subunit ribosomal RNA", at positions 102 to 669 of the family's 1533-position model. The record is from RNAcentral.